This 489-nucleotide long non-coding RNA is filed under the name Anas platyrhynchos platyrhynchos (common mallard). Its description in RNAcentral is "lncRNA (ENSAPLG00000017159.1)". Lineage: Eukaryota; Metazoa; Chordata; Aves; Anseriformes; Anatidae. The record is from RNAcentral.
UAUUAGCUGUUUGAUGUUACAUUAUUUGAAUUUCAUUUCAGUAACAGCACAUUAAUUUGCUUUUGAAUCUGUUUUUUGACUGUUUUGCAGAUUGGAGAAUUCAGAACAAUAAUGGUCUCCACUUUUAGGAUUUUUUUUUCCUAAAUAAAAAUUAUUUUAUAUCUCCUUUCUUCCAGCCAGGAUGAUUUACGCUACUGUAUGAUGUGAGAAAUCCUGCAUCUUUGGUUGUAUGUGGGGCCUAAGAUAGAGCCUACCAUAACCGAUAAGGUACAAGGGGUUUGAACGAUCUUCAGGACUUCUGGAUGAACACACCAGAGACCCAACAUGUCUGAAGUUUCUGAAUCCCACUGUAAGUUCUAGGAGCUGAAACAAGAGCUGCUUCAUUCCACAGAAACAUGAGCCUAAUUCUUACCACAUUCCUAACCUAAGUGUGCAAAAUCAUGUCUUCAGAGAGUCUGUGAAAAGGGAGUACAAGAAAUAAGUAAAUGG